Non-coding RNA from Arachis ipaensis, 580 nucleotides. NCBI's taxonomy places the organism in Eukaryota, Viridiplantae, Streptophyta, Magnoliopsida, Fabales, Fabaceae. The record is from RefSeq and is a predicted model, not a curated record.
GGCAACUAUAUGAUAUUUUUUCUUGUUCCAAGUGUUAACCGAAUAUUUUUUGGUCUCAGUAACCGGUGCAGCCACAGUCACAAUAGCAGGGGUAAUCAAGGAGGCCGUCACCAUAUUGGUUGCGGUAUUGUACUUUCAUGAUAAAUUUACAUGGGUGAAAGGACUCGGUCUCUGCACUAUUCUGUUUGGUGUCAGUUUAUUCAACUGGUACAAAUAUCUAAAGCUUCAGAAGGGCCAUUUUGGUGAAGGCGAGGUGGCAGUGCUUCACACAACAGAUUUUGCUGGCAAAUAUGUUAUUCUUGAGGAGAUGGAUUAGCAGGAUAUCUGAAACCUUCAUAGCAACAUCUUCAAAGUAAGUCCCUUAGUUAGACUGUUGUUAAGUGAUGCAUGAAGCUAUAAUAACUUAUUUAUCUAUAGAUAUAUAUAAAUUGACUUUUCCCUUUUUAAUCAUAAGAUCAUUAGUGCUUGUCUUGGUCAUCUCAGGGCUUGAAUGUUGAUGUUAUCAACUACUACUGCUAUAUGGCACUCAUUAAUACUUUGUCAAUGGAGAAAUGUACCACUUUUAUUGUGCACCUUUCUU